This 2032-nucleotide long non-coding RNA is filed under the name Homo sapiens (human). RNAcentral's name for it is "HSALNT0134533". The record is from RNAcentral. Lineage: Eukaryota; Metazoa; Chordata; Mammalia; Primates; Hominidae.
CUUUAAUCUCAUACAUACGAGUACAUAUGUCAUCUCUGGAACAUAAUGACAUGAUUUCAUUGUGCAUAGUCAAUUACUAAUUUUAUGAACAUUUUUUAAAGAUCUCACUCCUCUCCAGAAUAACCUGUCUUAUGCCUAAAACAUUAUGACUCAUUAGUCUUUUUUUUUUUUUUUUUGCUAGAGUCAAAACGUGAGACAAAAGUUUCUGCUCCCAAUCCCAAGUUCUGGAAUAUUGGCCGGCAGCAGCACCCUGAGUCAGCAAUCCCUACUGUGCACAAGACAUAGGCUUUUGCUAGUGACAUAAAUUAUGAAUCACAGGAUGCUAGAAUUGGAAUGACCUGGAAAACACAUGCAAAUGCCCAAGUUUCCCUGUUUACAGAAAAAUACUUCAAUGGCUAUAUCCUGCAGCUAUUUAAUUAGCAGAGCCAGGGUAAGACAACAGUAAACUCUCAACUGUGCCAGAUCCUCUUCUAAGUGUUUCACACAUUUGCUCAUUUAACCUCAUAUCCACCCUGUGAGGUAGGAACUCUUACUAUCUUCAUUUUCCUCACGAUGAAACUAAGGCACAGAGAGGUUAAGUAACUCCCCCAAGGUCAGACAGUGGUUCAGUCAGGGUUUAGGUCCAGGUUGUCCAAUCUGGUAUCCCAGCCUCUUAACCACUAGAAACCUUUGUAAGGGUUCUAAUGAAUUGAGAUUUUAAAAAUGCACAUUGAGGCCGGCAACAUCCACAGAUUUGGGGCCUGAAAGAGGAAGAUGACAUGCUUCCUGCACUCCCAGGUCUGCAAGCAGAAAAGACAGCGAGGUGCUCUUCCACAAAACAGGCGGCAUGCAGUGGCAGCCCAGGGAGCCCCGGGCAGGUCUGGGAAGGCACCUCCGAGCUGACAAGGGGGACUGAGCGACAAUAAAGGGAGGGCGACAGGCGCUGCAGGCAGGAGGAACAAUGGGACCCUGCACCCAGGAAGGCUGGGCAGGGUCUUUGUAAACAGUGGUGACCGUGGUUGCAGGAGUCAGCCGGGGAGGGGUCUCGAAUGUCACUCUGGAGGUGGGAAAACUCCCGCCACUGCCCCAUCACUCACCACAAGGGUCACGAAAGACUUCCACUAUUGUGAUAUUGAGCAAUCAAAUACUGUUGAGAGAAAUUUCAUCCCCCACAAGCAAGAGGAAGCAAAAAAGGAAAUGGCCCCUGUGCACCUAAUUCUGACCAACUGAUACCUGGUGGCUGACGUGGACAUGACUGGGAGCCUGGAGGUUACUGAGGCUCUCGUGUGCUCUGAGACUCCAGUUUCUGAGGUGCUCACACUGCUCAGACAUUCAGGAGGUGGGGAGGGGCCCCACUUCUACAGAUGAGAAAAUAAGAUCAGGCAGGCAGUGUGUGCCCCAGGAGAUAUCACGUAAGCGGCAGAGCCAAUAUGAUCAGGAGAGCCAGAGCAACCAAGGUCAGGACAUUCCAGUGACAACGGGCCCCUGGUGAGGGCAGGUGGCCUAUUUCAAGGGUAAACAGGAGCCUGGUCCGGCUGGAGCCAUGUGUGACGGGACUGAGAAGACUCCGGGUAUAAAGGCAGAGUGCAGUGACAAUGUGCCCUGAGAGCUGCCCUGGAGAAAUGCACUGCAGCGGGUUGGAAAUGGGGUCUCUCCAGGUGAUGGGAACAUGAACGAUGGUGCAUGUGGAAUGGAUGCAAAAGUGGGAGAAACUGGAGAACGGGGGCCUUCCCAGAGAGCUGCUGCUUUGAGCCUGGACACAGUAAUGAGAAGGAGAGUGACGGGGUGAGUGGAAGGCAAGGGCAGGAGAGGGGCUUCAGGGAAGAAUUAAUGAACUCGUGGACUAGCGCUUCCUGCCAACAGAAUAACUGCCCCAUCCCUGAGCCAAAACCCCGAACUUACAUGGACCUAAGGGCAGUAUCAAAAGUGAGAUUUCUAGGAUACAUGUACAACAAAAGAAAAAAUAAAUAAAAAUUGGACAUCAUCAAAAUUAAAAGCUUUAGUAUUUCAAAGGACAUCAUCAAGGAAAUGAAACAGCUCACGGAGAAAAAUU